CGGAGGAUCCAAGCGUUAUCCGGAUUCAUUGGGUUUAAAGGGUGCGUAGGCGGAAUGAUAAGUCAGUGGUGAAAUCUCGGAGCUUAACUCCGAAACUGCCAUUGAUACUGUCAAUCUUGAGUACAUUUGAUGAGGGCGGAAUGUGUCAUGUAGCGGUGAAAUGCUUAGAUAUGACACAGAACACCGAUUGCGAAGGCAGCUCUCAAAACUGUAACUGACGCUGAGGCACGAAAGCGUGGGUAUCAAACAGGAUUAGAUACCCUGGUAGUCCACGCUGUAAACUAUGAUUACUCGAUGUUUGCGAUAUACUGUAAGCGUCUAAGCGAAAGCGAUAAGUAAUCCGCCUGGGGAGUACGCUCGCAAGAGUG
Molecule: ribosomal RNA, 368 nt
Filed under: uncultured organism
Description: bacterial SSU rRNA
Rfam family: Bacterial small subunit ribosomal RNA
Source: RNAcentral